Molecule: ribosomal RNA, 253 nt
Filed under: uncultured bacterium
Lineage: Bacteria
Description: partial 16S ribosomal RNA
Rfam family: Bacterial small subunit ribosomal RNA
Source: RNAcentral
UACGAAGGGUGCAAGCGUUACUCGGAAUCACUGGGCGUAAAGGGCGCGUAGGCGGCUCAUGAAGGCUGUGGUGAAAGUCCGGGGCUCAACCUCGGAUCGGCCGUGGCGACUCGUGGGCUGGAGCACUGUAGAGGCGGGUGGAAUUCCGGGUGUAGCGGUGGAAUGCGUAGAGAUCCGGAAGAACACCAGUGGCGAAGGCGGCCCGCUGGGCAGUGGCUGACGCUGAAGCGCGACAGCGUGGGGAGCAAACAGG